This 1306-nucleotide ribosomal RNA is filed under the name uncultured bacterium. RNAcentral's name for it is "bacterial SSU rRNA". It matches the Rfam family "Bacterial small subunit ribosomal RNA", at positions 28 to 1381 of the family's 1533-position model. The record is from RNAcentral.
AACGUACGCUGGCGGCACGCUUAACACAUGCAAGUCGAACGAAGUAGCAAUACUUAGUGGCAGACGGGUGAGUAACAUGUGGGUAUCUGCCCUUUGGCCUGGAAUAACACGAGGAAACUUGUGCUAAUACCGGAUAAGUCUUUACGGAGAAAGCUUUAUGCACCAUUGGAUGAGCCCGCACUUGAUUAGUUUGUUGGUGGGGUAAUGGCCUACCAAGACUGUGAUCAAUAGCUGAUUUGAGAGGAUGAUCAGCCACAUUGGGACUGAGACACGGCCCAAACUCCUACGGGAGGCAGCAGUGGGGAAUCUUGCACAAUGGAGGAAACUCUGAUGCAGCGAUGCCGCGUGAGUGAAGAAGGCCCUUGGGUUGUAAAGCUCUUUCGUCGGGGAAGAAAAUGACUGUACCCGAAUAAGAAGGUCCGGCUAACUUCGUGCCAGCAGCCGCGGUAAUACGAAGGGACCUAGCGUAGUUCGGAAUUACUGGGCUUAAAGAGUUCGUAGGUGGUUGAAAAAGUUAGUGGUGAAAUCCCAGAGCUUAACUCUGGAACUGCCAUUAAAACUUUUCAGCUAGAGUAUGAUAGAGGAAAGCAGAAUUUCUAGUGUAGAGGUGAAAUUCGUAGAUAUUAGAAAGAAUACCAAUUGCGAAGGCAGCUUUCUGGAUCAUUACUGACACUGAGGAACGAAAGCAUGGGUAGCGAAGAGGAUUAGAUACCCUCGUAGUCCAUGCCGUAAACGAUGUGUGUUAGACGUUGGAAAUUUAUUUUCAGUGUCGCAGCGAAAGCGAUAAACACACCGCCUGGGGAGUACGACCGCAAGGUUAAAACUCAAAUGAAUUGACGGGGACCCGCACAACUAGUGGAGCAUGUGGUUUAAUUCGAAGAUACGCGCAGAACCUUACCAACACUUGACAUGUUCGUCGCGACUCUAAGAGAUUAGAGUUUUCGGUUCGGCCGGACGAAACACAGGUGCUGCAUGGCUGUCGUCAGCUCGUGUCGUGAGAUGUUGGGUUAAGUCCCGCAACGAGCGCAACCCUCACUUUUAGUUGCCAUCAUUAAGUUGGGCACUCUGAAAGAACUGCCGGUGAUAAGCUGGAGGAAGGUGGGGAUGACGUCAAGUCCUCAUGGCCCUUACGUGUUGGGCUACACACGUGCUACAACGGUAUCUACAACAGGAAGCAAGACUGCGAGGUCAAGCAAAUCCUUAAAAGAUACCUCAGUUCGGAUUGCACUCUGCAACUCGAGUGCAUGAAGCUGGAAUUACUAGUAAUCGUGGAUCAGCGUGCCACGGUGAAUGCGUUCCCGGGUCU